This 253-nucleotide ribosomal RNA is filed under the name uncultured Eubacteriales bacterium. RNAcentral's name for it is "uncultured Clostridiales bacterium partial 16S ribosomal RNA". It matches the Rfam family "Bacterial small subunit ribosomal RNA", at positions 524 to 776 of the family's 1533-position model. The record is from RNAcentral. Lineage: Bacteria; Bacillati; Bacillota; Clostridia; Eubacteriales.
UACGGAGGAUGCGAGCGUUAUCCGGAAUCACUGGGUGUAAAGGGAGCGUAGACGGCUGUGCAAGCCUGAAGUGAAAGGCGGGGGCCCAACCCCUGGACUGCUUUGGGAACUGUACGGCUGGAGUGCAGGAGAGGUAAGUGGAAUUCCUAGUGUAGCGGUGAAAUGCGUAGAUAUUAGGAGGAACACCAGUGGCGAAGGCGGCUGUCUGGUCUGCAACUGACGCUGAGGCUCGAAAGCAUGGGUAGCGAACAGG